This 372-nucleotide ribosomal RNA is filed under the name Triticum aestivum (bread wheat). RNAcentral describes it as "partial small subunit ribosomal RNA". The record is from RNAcentral. Lineage: Eukaryota; Viridiplantae; Streptophyta; Magnoliopsida; Poales; Poaceae.
AUGGCAAGCAUAUCUGAAGACUCUGGUGAAGAAACACCACUACAGGUGGCACCACUACAUGUUUUUGUCAGGCUCGCCUUUUCGAUGCGCAAAAUGAUGAGGGAUAAAGCUCUGGUCAGGAGACUUUCUGCAUGCGAGACAAUGGGUUCUGCAACAACAAUUUGCAGUGACAAGACUGGAACAUUAACUUUAAAUCAGACGACUGUUGUUGAGGCAUACUUUGGUGGUGAGAAGAUGGAUCCUCCAGAUAACACUCAGAAGCUAUCUGCUGCUAUAUCAACAAUGAUUAUUGAAGGAAUUGAUCAGAAUACAUCUGUAAGCAUAUUUGAGCCGGAGCUGUGUGGCUUAAUGGUGGUGGAGGUUGUUCUGUAG